ACAGUUUUGCAUUAAAUGAUAGGUAAAAACUAAAACUUUUAAUAACUGUUUCUUUUAUAUUUGUAGAUCUUGCUGUUUCUCUACAUAAAAAUCUAAUAUAAGCUGAUUUAGCACAAAAUAUGUGAAAUUAUAUAUAUUUUUAUUUCUUUUGUUAUUGUUUUUGUUAUUAUUAUUUUGAGACAGGCUGUCACUUUGUCACCCAGGCUUUUUCAUUUGAUUCUAAGACCAUACCUUUUAUAACUUAUACAUUUUCCUUUAUUAUAUAUUGAGGUUCUCUGAUCAGUCCAAUAACCUCAUUGUCU
Molecule: long non-coding RNA, 302 nt
Organism: Homo sapiens (human)
Lineage: Eukaryota; Metazoa; Chordata; Mammalia; Primates; Hominidae
Source: Ensembl